Molecule: ribosomal RNA, 425 nt
Filed under: uncultured fungus
Lineage: Eukaryota; Fungi
Description: eukaryotic LSU rRNA
Rfam family: Eukaryotic large subunit ribosomal RNA
Source: RNAcentral
GAUCUGAAAUCAGGUAGGGCUACCCGCUGAACUUAAGCAUAUCAAUAAGCGGAGGAAAAGAAACUAACAAGGAUUCCCCUAGUAACGGCGAGUGAAGCGGGAAGAGCUCAAAUUUAAAAUCUAGUUUGCUUGCAAACUCGAGUUGUAGUCUGAAGAAACGUUUUCCAUGAAAGCUGAGGCACAAGUCCUUUGGAACAGGGCAUCAUAGAGGGUGAGAAUCCCGUCCAUGGUCUCAAGUCUUUCAUUUUGUGAUACGUUUUCUAAGAGUCAGGUUGUUUGGGAAUGCAGCCUAAAAUGGGUGGUAAAUUUCAUCUAAAGCUAAAUAUUGGCGAGAGACCGAUAGCGAACAAGUACCGUGAGGGAAAGAUGAAAAGAACUUUGAAAAGAGAGUUAAAAAGUACGUGAAAUUGUUGAAAGGGAACCGU